UGGGGAAUAUUGCACAAUGGGCGAAAGCCUGAUGCAGCGACGCCGCGUGAGGGAUGACGGCCUUCGGGUUGUAAAUCUCUUUCAGCAGGGACGAAGCGCAAGUGACGGUACCUGCAGAAGAAGCACUGGCUAACUACGUGCCAGCAGCCGCGGUAAUACGUAGGGUGCAAGCGUUGUCCGGAAUUACUGGGCGUAAAGAGUUCGUAGGCGGUUUGUCGCGUCGUUUGUGAAAACCAGCAGCUCAACUGCUGGCUUGCAGGCGAUACGGGCAGACUUGAGUACUGCAGGGGAGACUGGAAUUCCUGGUGUAGCGGUGAAAUGCGCAGAUAUCAGGGGGAACACCGGUGGCGAAGGCGGGUCUCUGGGCAGUAACUGACGCUGAGGAACGAAAGCGUGGGUAGCGAACAGG
Molecule: ribosomal RNA, 409 nt
Filed under: bacterium
Lineage: Bacteria
Description: partial 16S ribosomal RNA
Rfam family: Bacterial small subunit ribosomal RNA
Source: RNAcentral